GUGCUCGCUUCAGCAGCACAUAUACUAAAAUUGGAAAGAUACAGAGAUUAGCGUGGCCCCUGCGCAAGGAUGACAGGCAAAUUCGUGAAGCAUUU
This 95-nucleotide small nuclear RNA is filed under the name Microcebus murinus (gray mouse lemur). The record is from RNAcentral. Lineage: Eukaryota; Metazoa; Chordata; Mammalia; Primates; Cheirogaleidae.